CUUACUUGCCGGUAUUGACAUUAGUGGCACCAAUGGAGAGGUGAUGCUAGGCCUGAUCAUGGCUGACCUCCAUCUUGCCAGUUUUUUUAAAAAGGACAAAAGCACAGAACGGUUGCCAUCAACACUGGCUUCUAUCGUGCAAUAAGAGUACCAAGUGGGACCAAGCAUGGGAAUUGAAGCAGAUCAUAUAUGGUGUUCAAGAUACCUUCUCGAGGACUCUCAGAGUGUUUUCCCCAUCUAUUCUGCAAUACAAAAAGCAUGGGAGAAGAGGGAGGCUUUGAAGUGAUAAAGAAGGCAAUUUUGAAUCUCUCACUUCGCCACAAAGAGCACGUUGGCACCUCUUAUGGAGAAGGAAAUGGAAGAAGGUUGACAGGUCAACAUGAAACAGCCAACAUUGACACAUAUUCUGGGUAAUGCUCAGAAGAAGCAUACCAACUGCUACUCAAAUUCAAAGAUUGCCCGUUCAAUUGAAUCUUGGGAUGCCUAAAUUACUUGAAAUCAAUUAUGCAGGUAGUUGCCAAUUGUGGUUGCUCAUUCUGUGUGGGCCGUAACACUAAGAGGCAAGGAAAAGGUUACUUGGAAGAUGGGCGUCCUAUCUCAAACAUGAAACCAUACAUUGUGACCUCGUUACAUGCAGAAACUACAAUUCUAUGAGAGCCCACCCUUGAGGCUGAAGCUCUUGCUGCUCAUAAGCUUGCAUUGAAGAUCCAAAAUUCAAGUUGCUUGUUAAGAAAGGCCAAAUGCAUUAAUCAAAUCAGGGAGGACCCACAGGCUGAGAGACUUAGAACCUCUUUUUCUCCACAUUUAGGUCAUUGAGAGAAGAUCCUCAUGUAAGGGAAGCUUCCCAAAUGGAGAGAAAAUUAGGUGUCCAAGCUCAGACCUAGUCUUCCUCACAUUGGUUUCAUCCUACAUUCGCAAGUCGUCUCAAUGGUUCGGCAUUUGAGUUCAACAGUACCCUUUAGCAUCAUGGACAUCUUCCUAUGUUUGAGUUGUCAGUUUGGAAUAGUAUUUUUGCUUAUCUUCGUAUCUUGAAACUUAGGGAAGUGCUUUAUAAACGUAUGUAUAAAAUGAAGACUUUUUAAUGCAAUUUGUCCAAAUUUUCAGUGUCGUCAUAUGCUAAACUCAUUCAAUUUGGCAUGUUCAACUUUCUUUCGAAUGAAAGGCAAUUUGACUUCUACUUCAGUAAA
This is a long non-coding RNA of Eucalyptus grandis, 1187 nucleotides long. RefSeq lists it as uncharacterized. NCBI's taxonomy places the organism in Eukaryota, Viridiplantae, Streptophyta, Magnoliopsida, Myrtales, Myrtaceae. The record is from RefSeq and is a predicted model, not a curated record. The transcript has 3 exons.